Molecule: ribosomal RNA, 369 nt
Filed under: Triticum aestivum (bread wheat)
Lineage: Eukaryota; Viridiplantae; Streptophyta; Magnoliopsida; Poales; Poaceae
Description: partial small subunit ribosomal RNA
Source: RNAcentral
AUGAAUCUUUUGGCCUGGAACUGUCGAGGCUUGGGGUUGGACUCAACAGUUGGUGAGCUGCAUGACCUGAUACGAUCCCACAACCCAGCGGUGGUGUUUUUGUCUAAAACAAAGAAGAAAGCAAGGGCAAUGGACACGUUGAAAUGGAGUUUGGGGUUCAGGUGUGGUGUGGCUGUGGAUUGUUAAGGGCGUAGUGGUGGUUUGGCCUUAUGGUGGAGGGAUAAUGUGAAUGUUACGGUGAGGCCUUUCUGCCAAUACUUUAUUGAUGCGGAGAUGGUGUGCAAUGGAAAACCCUUAGAUUCACUGGUUUCUAUGGGGAACCAUGCAUGGAGUUGCGGAAGACAUCUUGGGAUGCCAUUAGAUAUUUGA